GGUGGCUCAGUGGAAGAGUACUUGCCUCUCAUGCAUGAGGACCUGGGUUCGAGUCCUCAGCACCA
Non-coding RNA from Dipodomys ordii (Ord's kangaroo rat), 65 nucleotides. The record is from Rfam. NCBI's taxonomy places the organism in Eukaryota, Metazoa, Chordata, Mammalia, Rodentia, Heteromyidae.